Molecule: ribosomal RNA, 753 nt
Filed under: Triticum aestivum (bread wheat)
Lineage: Eukaryota; Viridiplantae; Streptophyta; Magnoliopsida; Poales; Poaceae
Description: partial small subunit ribosomal RNA
Source: RNAcentral
AUGUUCCUGGAGCAGGUCCUCGGGCACCUACGGGGCGAGAGGCGCUGGGGGGAUGGUGUGAUGCGCGAUCUGGACAUCUCCCUGCGUGACCAGGGCCCGGUGGGCUCGCUGGAGGAUACGCUGUUCCAAAGUUGCAGCUUGUUCGCGUCCGUGGCCCGCGUCGUGAGCGGCGCGGCAUCAGGCGUCGGUGGAGGAUUGCUCGCUCUCUGGUUUGCGACGGGACAAGUUCAGAAAUUUCUUGGGGCUCCACGUCCUCCUGGAAUACUGAUGUUGGGCUACGGUUGCGGUUGUUUUUCCUUGUACAUGAAGAUGCUGUAUUAUGAUCUCCAGAAGGAUUUUGCUGCAAUGCUUUUGGAGCAUGGAGAAGAACACACGAAGAGGGAGCUAGCUAAAAUAAUACUCAAUAACCAUAGCACUGACAAGUCACUGGUUGAAGUUCUAAAGAGGCACUAUGUAGCUGAUCAUCUGUUGGGUGAUGAGCAUCAAGAGAAGCAACUUUUCAGGUGGCGCCAACGCCAUUCGUAUGUGGACAACGCUUUUAUGGAAAGGUUGAAGGAGGAACUUAUAGAAGUGGUGAAGAAGAAAGAUAUAGAAAGGUUGGAGAAGUCUGAAGCAAACAAUGCCGAUGCUGAGGUCGAAUCAAGUGCAAACGUUGGAUUAUUUGAGGAGGAUCCACUGGCUUGUGUGCUUGGCACUCCAGACAGCAACAGGAAGAUGGACAUGUUACUGGCAGCGUCGUCUCCAACAUCCUGA